CCUACGGGAGGCAGCAGUAGGGAAUCUUCCACAAUGGGCGAAAGCCUGAUGGAGCAACGCCGCGUGGGUGAAGAAGGUCUUCGGAUCGUAAAACCCUGUUGUUAGAGAAGAAAGUGCGUGAGAGUAACUGUUCACGUUUCGACGGUAUCUAACCAGAAAGCCACGGCUAACUACGUGCCAGCAGCCGCGGUAAUACGUAGGUGGCAAGCGUUAUCCGGAUUUAUUGGGCGUAAAGGGAACGCAGGCGGUCUUUUAAGUCUGAUGUGAAAGCCUUCGGCUUACCCGGAGUAGUGCAUUGGAAACUGGGAGACGUGAGUGCAGAAGAGGAGAGUGGAACGCCAUGUGUAGCGGUGAAAUGCGUAGAUAUAUGGAAGAACACCAGUGGCGAAAGCGGCUCUCUGGUCUGUAACUGACGCUGAGGUUCGAAAGCGUGGGUAGCAAACAGGAUUAGAUACCCUUGUAGUC
This 465-nucleotide ribosomal RNA is filed under the name uncultured bacterium. RNAcentral describes it as "partial 16S ribosomal RNA". It matches the Rfam family "Bacterial small subunit ribosomal RNA", at positions 338 to 795 of the family's 1533-position model. The record is from RNAcentral.